This is a non-coding RNA of Brassica napus (rape), 124 nucleotides long. Lineage: Eukaryota; Viridiplantae; Streptophyta; Magnoliopsida; Brassicales; Brassicaceae. The record is from Rfam.
AGAAUAUAAGAACCCGUCUCUUAACUUUUAACUAAAAAAACUAAGAACCAGCUUUUAAAUAUCUUAUUUAAGAGUCGGUUCUUAGUUUUUUAGUUAAAAGUUAAGAGACAAGUUCUUAUAUUUC